AUGGAAGUCCAAUCUGAUUGCUCAAGAAACCUGUGUUAUUAUGGCGUUCAUGUGUACACACACAGGGGCAACCAAAUUGGCUGGCCCUCUUUCAUUGUGGCCGUUGAAGUAUUGUUGUCAACAGUUGGUCCUAACUUCACUUGUUGGGUAGGCGCUGCUCAAAAGGUUAAUGGAGUACACAAUAUAACUUUGUACAGAUGCACACCGCACAAUUGGUUAUGGAGUGUCAACAGUUGGCAAAGAUUAACACGCCAAGCCAAUGACAGCCCCGUCCUGGACGCUAACAGUCUUGGAUUUUUGUCGCAACAGAAAAUGGUCCUGCUCCCAGCCAUAAUCAGGAUAGAGCCAGUUCAUGCUUUCCUCUGA
Molecule: ribosomal RNA, 366 nt
Filed under: Triticum aestivum (bread wheat)
Lineage: Eukaryota; Viridiplantae; Streptophyta; Magnoliopsida; Poales; Poaceae
Description: partial small subunit ribosomal RNA
Source: RNAcentral